GCCUGGGUGGCUCAAUCGGCUAAGCAUCUGACUUCGGCUCAGGUCAUGAUCUCAGGUUUGUGGGUUCGAGCCCCGUGUCGGGCU
Molecule: transfer RNA, 84 nt
Filed under: Felis catus (domestic cat)
Lineage: Eukaryota; Metazoa; Chordata; Mammalia; Carnivora; Felidae
Rfam family: tRNA
About the family: Transfer RNA (tRNA) molecules are approximately 80 nucleotides in length. Their secondary structure includes four short double-helical elements and three loops (D, anti-codon, and T loops). Further hydrogen bonds mediate the characteristic L-shaped molecular structure. tRNAs have two regions of fundamental functional importance: the anti-codon, which is responsible for specific mRNA codon recognition, and the 3' end, to which the tRNAs corresponding amino acid is attached (by aminoacyl-tRNA synthetases). tRNAs cope with the degeneracy of the genetic code in two manners: having more than one tRNA (with a specific anti-codon) for a particular amino acid; and 'wobble' base-pairing, i.e. permitting non-standard base-pairing at the 3rd anti-codon position.
Source: Rfam by way of RNAcentral